This 253-nucleotide ribosomal RNA is filed under the name uncultured bacterium. RNAcentral's name for it is "partial 16S ribosomal RNA". It matches the Rfam family "Bacterial small subunit ribosomal RNA", at positions 524 to 776 of the family's 1533-position model. The record is from RNAcentral.
UACGUAGGGUGCAAGCGUUGUCCGGAAUUAUUGGGCGUAAAGGGCUCGUAGGCGGUCUGUCGCGUCGGGAGUGAAAACUCAGGGCUUAACCCUGAGCCUGCUUCUGAUACGGGCAGACUAGAGGUAUGCAGGGGAGAAUGGAAUUCCUGGUGUAGCGGUGAAAUGCGCAGAUAUCAGGAGGAACACCGGUGGCGAAGGCGGUUCUCUGGGCAUUACCUGACGCUGAGGAGCGAAAGUGUGGGGAGCGAACAGG